Long non-coding RNA from Stomoxys calcitrans (stable fly), 486 nucleotides. RefSeq lists it as uncharacterized. The transcript has 2 exons. Lineage: Eukaryota; Metazoa; Arthropoda; Insecta; Diptera; Muscidae. The record is from RefSeq and is a predicted model, not a curated record.
GAGUGAUAGUAAAGCAAACAAUAAAGGGAAUUCCCAAAGAAGAUAAAAAAAAGAAACAUGUAUCUGGAGGUGUUUAGUACACACGAUAGUUAAUAGCCUGUCUGGUGGUAUUUUGUAUAAAUAAACUGUGUUUUGUGGAGGAAAUUAUCAUUUGCCAACAUGAAAUUCUACGCUCUAUUUGCAUUUGUCUUGGCUUUAAUGGCUAUGGCCAUGGCUAAUCCCAAUCCUAAUCCCCAUCCUCAACCCAGACCUUUGCCUGGUGGUGGAGGAGGCGGUGGCGGCGGUGGUGGUGGCUUUUUCGGUGGUGGCGGUGGAGGCGGCGGCGGUGGUGGUGGCAAAUAAUUCACCUGAAUCUGACUGGGAACAUAAGAAAAGGAAAAGAGCUCAAUAAAAUAUAAAAAAUUAAAAACAAUUUAUUUAAAAUUAAUGUUUUUUAUUUUAGAAAAUGUUUUUUUGGAAGAUUAAACAAAAUUUUUUGUAAAGGAA